GAUUGAAAUUUCAGCAUCCGAAUAUACAGUUACAUCAGAAGAGUCAGGAAUUCAGAAUUAUUUAUCCCAGUCACAACAAUCAGUCAGAAGUUAUGAAUGUUGCAGCUACUUGACAUCUUUGAAUGAUUUCCUGUCAUCUGUCAGAUUGCAGGAAUUCUCAGAAAAAAAAGAAAAACAUGGCAGUCCUACACAUAUAAAACAAGAAACACCUACAAAGAAAGAUUUGAUGAGAUUAUGAAAUUGAUAAUAGGAUUUUUAUUUCCAAACGAUGUUGACGAAGUUAUUGAAGAUAUAAAAUGUCCCAAGCAGUUAAAUGAAGGUCAUACGGAGUACAAAGAUAUUGUUACUUCAUACAGAAAAGCAAAAUCCUGGCAACAAGGGAGACAAGUUCCUUCAGUUCUUGCCUCAAGAAUGUCCUUCAAGGACUUACUGUCUCUACUACCAGAAGUAACAUCUCAUCGCUACUAUGCUGCACUCAGUCAUUCAAAGAACUUAGGGCCAGCACUUCCAAUUCCUGAGAAAAAAUUGCAUCGACAAAAAUUAGAUCUUGAAAGAUAAGACUCAUUCCUAGAUUUCAUUACAUCCAUUCAUGUUGUCCGUGAUCUACCUUUUGGGGAUGAAACAAAUGGAACAGUCCACAAUUUACCUAACGUUGUACGUUGCAUGGGUUCAGCAGACAUAAUACAGCAGUACAAAGCAUACUGUCAGGAAAAUGAAAUUUUACUUUUAGGCAAUAGACAAGUCAGCAAAAAUUGUAAAGUACAUAGUUCGUAUUAUAGAUGGAACUGAGUGUGGGAAAACCAAGUACACUGCU
Long non-coding RNA from Mytilus trossulus (common blue mussel), 814 nucleotides. RefSeq lists it as uncharacterized. The record is from RefSeq and is a predicted model, not a curated record. Lineage: Eukaryota; Metazoa; Mollusca; Bivalvia; Mytilida; Mytilidae. The transcript has 3 exons.